This 451-nucleotide long non-coding RNA is filed under the name Trifolium pratense (red clover). RNAcentral's name for it is "long non-coding RNA (TPRA_LNC011143)". Lineage: Eukaryota; Viridiplantae; Streptophyta; Magnoliopsida; Fabales; Fabaceae. The record is from RNAcentral.
UUGGCACUUGGUAUGUGUAUUUGGUAUUUUUAUACUUGUUUCCAGUUGGUGACCCUUGCUUUGUAUGUGAUAAAUGAACGGGUUAUCCCCCACCUAAGAUGACGGAGAGCCUAGCGAGACUGUGGGUCAUGUGGAUGGCGAGGAAUUCGUGGACUAUCCCGGAGUGUAGAGAGUAGCGCUUGUUAGGCUACAUUUUUGGUUAGGCUUAGGGCCUAGUUGUAUUUUGGAUGACUGUAUGUCUUAUACAUUUAUACUCAGACAUGUUUAGUGCCUUUUGGCCUUGUGAUAUAUUCGGUUCAUAACUCGUGUCUUUUGGUUGAUGAACUUAAUGUAUCCGCUGUAUGUAAAUUAUUCAGGUACACAUUUCGCUUCGAGGAAGCCCUGUAAUAUAAUGUGUUGAUGUUAUAUUUAUUUUCUAUUGAAGGAUGAAUUGCCGAGAUAGCUGCGGGCG